CAUUCGCUCGGCACGUUUCCUUCUUGCUGCCUUGUGAAGAAUGUGUCUUGCUUACCCUUCGCCUUCCACCAUGAUUGUGAGUUUCCUGAGGCCUCCCCAGCCAUGCUGAACUGCUAGUCAAAUGAAGCAGUGGGAUAUGCUGCAUUUUCAAAAAGCCUUCCCAGGAGACUGCAGUGUUUGUGCUGGGUCGAGAAUCACAAAAAACCAAGAGAAUAUUUAAUAUCUCUAUUGGAACGACUGAGAAUCGCAAAAGUAACAGGCGUAGCAUUUCCUUUCUUUAUGGAUAACUCUAACAUUGUGGCCAUGUUUGAGAUGAUGGACUCCUCAGGCAGAGGCACCAUAUCAUUUGUGCAGUAUAAAGAAGCCCUAAAAACCCUGGGUCUGUGCACUGAAGAUGAAGAUUUACAAGAUGAUGGACAUAUAAUAACUUUGGAUAAAUUCAAGGAGGAAGUGAACAAGAGGAUGAAGGAAAUAUGGUCAGCAUUUUAAUAACACCAUAAAUCCAAGAUAAUAAGUAAUUCUAUAAAGUUUUCCAGUUUCAUUAAUUCAGAAUUUCAUCAUAUAACUUGAAAUCCAAUUGGCUUCCAAAAAAACCUUUUUCUGAAAGACAUUAUUUUCCAGUAUUAGGCCAAUUUGUCCUCAAAUUAAGUAGAAUCUCAACAUCUUGUUGAGCCAGUUUGUAAAUUCCAACUUCAUUUAAUGCUGCUGUGGCAGGAAGCUGCCCUGAAGCUGACUGCAGUACAUCUUUCAGGAGUAGUGCAGAACCGACGUUCAAAUUCAAAACAAUACAGGCUUCUUUUAUACUGUUUAGGGAAAACAA
Molecule: small RNA, 820 nt
Filed under: Pongo abelii (Sumatran orangutan)
Lineage: Eukaryota; Metazoa; Chordata; Mammalia; Primates; Hominidae
Description: processed transcript
Source: RNAcentral